CUCCCUCUCACAUUUCAGACGCGAUUUGUAUCCUCUCUCCCCCUCACUUUUCUCUCUCCUCACUUUCUCUCACCAAAUCGCGUCCCCGUCGCCGUCGUUUCUAGGGUUACGAUUCCUCGCCGUCGUCCCUCACCAAAUCGCGUCCCAAAGCAGCGUUAAGGGUCUAAGCCUGACUGUGAUUAAGGCUGGGUGCCAUGGUCUGCUUAAAGAGGGAGCUUCUGUGACAAUGACCGUGUUUUGAAGACUGUGAAAGGGUAAUGGAUCCUUCUCUCUUUAAGGCUACAUAUCUCUAGAACAAAUGGAAAGACUCUGGCCAGUAGCUUAAUAUCCACUGCACCACCAAUCAUGAAGAAAGGCUUAGCUGAAAGACUUUUCGAUCUGAGUUGUCAUCUUGAUUAGAUUCAUGGUAUUUUCAUCUCUUUCUCUAUGUCCUUUUGGCAAUGGUCUUUCUAGCUUGGAUUUCUUGAUAACAUGAUUUCCCUUUUUUAUGUAGAUUUUAUGUUAAAUUGUCUUUGCAUUUCUUGGUUGUUAAAAGUUCUGUAUUGUCUUUCAACAAUCUAAUUAAAUUGUCAUACCAGGUGACUUGAUUUUAAGCUCUCUUAUGUUCAUUUCUCAUCGUGGCAUGGAGCUUUGCAGUCUCAUUUAAAAAACUGCUUUGUGGGUGUUUUUGCAUCUGUAUGCAUAUAUCCGUUUUUAAUGGAGAGACUUCACCCUUUCCUAUUAUCAGCUGGCUUAUUUAUAACUAUGUAGUUUCUGUUUUUGAAUUUUUCUCUAUUUAAAAACAGAAACUACAUAGUUAUAAAUAACUUCACUUUUACAUCAGAAAUUCAGAAUCCUUAAGCAGCUCUUAGCCUCUCUUUCUGACUGUCCCGGUGUUUUUUCUUUUUUCGUCAUUGAUACUUCGUAUUAGGUUCAACAUUAAUGUAUCUUGCUAUAUGGUGUCUUCCUUCUGAUUGUGACAGUCUAAACCAACAGUAUAGUAUGAGCUUAAAUAGCUACAAUUCUGAUGCGUGUGAACCAACGUAUAGAAUCGGAGAUGCAUUAUUCAAUUAAUAACAAAACAAAAUCAAAAACAGUUUUAAGUUUUACUAAAACUAGAGACUAAAAACUGGUAAUAAUACCAAACACACCCUAAAAGAAUAAUUUCCAUUCAUUACGGAGUGAAAUUCAUAGUCAAUAAUCAAUUAAUUACAGAGUGAUAUUUAUACAGCAAUCCUAAAAGUCACAAACUUCUGAUCAUCUUUACAUCACAAACUUUCAGAUCGUACUAGCUACAAUCUUAAUAGAAAUCCCAGAUUCAUAAGUUUGUGUUAGUUUGAUACUUGGGGGAUUUAAGGUAUUAGACUUUCAAAAAAAUAAAAAAUGGCAUAAGCAAACAGCAGGAAUGAGAUUUUCUUAUUCCAACCUGAUUCAGAUAUUUGCUAACCAAAUAGGCUUAUUCGUAAAGUAAACUCAUGUCUCAAGGCAUGGAUUGGAUUUCUAAAUCCUAAAUUUGAUACCAAGCCAGCGAGUCCUCACAAAUAACUUUAAUCACAUCAUAUCAAAUUUUGUAAGGAAAUUUAGACAACUGACUUAAGUUCCUCCGAUAAAAUCUUUGAUAUUCCAGCUAGGAGAAACAACCUCAUUUGUAGAUUCUAUAAGAUAAAAGCUUUUGCUUAGUACUUUAUAUUGUCCCUAUCAGAAAUGGUGAGCAAGUAGCAUUUAAUCAACAGUCACUGAUAGAAUGCUGAAACUCAUCCCAUUCAUAUAGGGAGUUCGAAAGCUCCUGAAACUGGUCGUUCCAAAACUCAAUUUGUUAGCGCCAUUAUCCAAGUGCAGGGCAUUGCUAUACAGGCAUACAAACAUGGUCCAGGCACCUAGCUAACAUAUCAGUAGAAUACUAUCACUAUGUUUCUUGACAUCCAUAUUCGAGUCUGCAAGUUGUAUCAGAAGGAUUGCCUGAUGUGGAUUGCGAUCUAUAAUUGAUUGCUCUUUGAAUUUCAGCUUCCCACUGCCUUUGAUGCGCAUGGUGCCUAAUAAUUUCAGCUUGCAGGAAUAAUACAUUUAGCAUUUGAACACCUUUAGUAUGGCUAUAUAUUCAUGUAAAUAAUGAUGAACACCUUUAGCAUCAUUAUUUAGCAGUUGAAAAUUUGAAGGCCAACUUGAUGAUGUAGGCAAGGAAAAGCUUAUCUGCUUAGGAUUUAAAGCAAACUUGCAGGAAACUUUGUUGCUGUUCUGUUUAGAACUUGAUGUUUGUUUGCAAAAAAGGGAUAACUGGUCAUGGCAGAAGCUGGGGAUCCGGGAGCCAAACUGUUUGUUGGGAAAGUGAGGAGCAGUUUCAUAUUGGCCAUAUGUCCAUGCUUCGGAAAGCAGUGAUGCUCUAGACUGAUUUGGUGUGUUAUUGGAGUUCGUGUUUAUUUUACAGGAUGCAUGUACAUAGCACCAGUAAAAAAUCCAGCCAAACUACAAAAAAAAAAGACCACCUGCAGACAGAGACAGACAGCAACAGCAACAGCAACAGAGAAUAGAGAACGGCAACUGAGUGAUUUUUCAAGGGAUUUUGACUUUUCAGUAGUACUGUAUGGACCUUUACUUUAUUUAAACGGAACAAUUGUUUUGUUUUUCUUAGUUUGAUUACGAAUUAAUUAUGAAUAUUGAAUUAUUAGUGUUAUGGAAUUAACUAUUUAGAUCCCGUGAAAAUGCACACGGUGUAAAAUUUUUCUUUAGAUGAACUUUGUGAACAAAUUUUGUGGCAUGUUAUUUUUGGUGAUUAGUUGCAAUAAAAUAAUUUAAAGUUCUGAAA
Long non-coding RNA from Spinacia oleracea (spinach), 2782 nucleotides. RefSeq lists it as uncharacterized. The transcript is spliced from 4 exons. Lineage: Eukaryota; Viridiplantae; Streptophyta; Magnoliopsida; Caryophyllales; Amaranthaceae. The record is from RefSeq and is a predicted model, not a curated record.